AUGCUUGGCUCUCGGCAUAGAGCACGAGAGCAGAGCUGGCGGAGGAAAGCCGGGACGGCACGGAGAAACGUGCUCCUGCACUCGAGCACGAGAGCAGAGCUGGCGGAGGAAAGCCGGGACGGCACGGAGAAACGUGCUCCUGCACUCGAGCUCCCGCAGGCCCCCUCGGUGUUCCCUUUGUUCCCCUGCUGUGGUGACAUUGCAGCCAGCCCCUCUUGCGAGGUCACCAUCGCCUGCCUCGUGACCGGCUAUUUCCCAGAGCCCGUGGCAGUCAAGUGGAACUCUGGCACAGGGACCAACGGGACCAAGACCUACCCAGCCGUGGUGCGGGGCAGCGGCAACGCCUUUACUCUCGUCAGCCAGCUCACUGUCUGCCCCUGUGAUCUGGAGCGUCACACCUACCAGUGCAGCGUGGAGCAUGCACAGUCCAAUACAAAAAUCGAUGUGGUCAUCCCAAAUGUGUGCGAGGUGCUGGUUCCGCCUGAGGUUCGCCUCCUGCCCCCCUCCUGUGAGCGUGACACCAUGGAGCAACAUCUGGAGCUGGUUUGCCUCCUCCUGAGGUUCACUCCGGGCACCGCGAAAGUGGAAUGGUUGGUGAACGGCGAGAAGAGACUUCCUACCACAGACUUAUCCUUCGGGAAGGGCACAGACAAGUCCUACACGGGCCAGAGCCGACUGAACGUCACCAAGGAGAGCUGGAAGACCGGGGACGUUUACACCUGUAAAGUCACACAUCCAUCGACAGGAAAGGAGUACUUCAUGCAGAACACCAGCAAGUGCUUGGCCUGCUCCAGCAAGUCAGCACCUCCCUCCGUCCAUGUCACCCAGCCCACCUAUGGGGACCUGCUUGGGGAGACAGCCUGGGUGAUGUGCGUGGUGGUGGGCUCUCACUUGGCGGAGGCUCAGGUCUCUUGGGACGUGGACGGGAAAGCCAGUCCCGAGGCACAGAAAGGGACCCUAAAUCAAGCCAACGGGUCCCACAGCAUCACCAGCACCCACAGCAUAACCUUGGAGCAAUGGAAGAGCCGGACAACUUUCGUGUGCAAAGUGAGACUUCCUUGCUUUGAAGAAGUCACCCAGGAGAUGCCACUCAUGGACACAAGUGGUGGCGACUGUACCCCACAGGCUGUGGAGGUCUUUCUACUUCCCCCAUCCCUGGAGGACCUCUACAUAGCGCAUACUGCCAGCAUAACCUGUUUGGUAAGUGGCAUGGAGACCCACGACACCCCGGAGUUCUCCUGGACUCGGAAAAGCGGGGGACCACUGAAUGAAGUCUCCAGGGUCUCCGAGCUGCAGGAAAAUGGCACCUACAGUGCAACCAGUGUCCUGCAGGUGUGCGUGGAGGAGUGGCAGUCAGGGGAGGAAUUCACCUGCUCCGUGAAGCACCAAGACAUCCCAUCAGCCAUUGUCAAGACCAUCCAUAAGAGCAAAGAGGUCUCUCUCCGGGCCCCUUCUGUCUACGUCUUCCCUCCUCAUGCGAAGGAGCUGGCGCUCCAGGAAUGGGCCACCAUCACCUGCCUGGUCUCUGGCUUCCAGCCCAGAAACAUCUUGGUGUUAUGGACCCGGAAGGACAAGCCCAUGCCAGAGGAUGCCUAUACCAACAUUGGCCCCAUUCGGGAGGCCGGGGUGGAGGAAAGCUACUUCAUCUACAGUAAGCUCAGAAUCCAGGCCUCUGAAUGGCAGAAGGGGGACACCUUCUCCUGCAUGGUGGGGCAUGAAGGCCUGCCCAAGAUCUUCACCCAACAGAGUGUGGACAAAGCCUCCAAUCUUCACUGCCUGGUGGAGGACCAAGGGGUCUAUCUUGAAGGAGGAGAGGGGGAAUCGGACCCUCUCUGGACGCCUGUAACCUUCAUCGCGCUGUUCCUGCUCAGCCUGGUGUACAGCGCUGGCGUCACGCUGUUUAAGGUGCGGUGAGCGCCCAACUCCAGGGUUUCUCCUUCCUCUUCAUCACCUCUGUCCAUCUUCAGCAUCCUCGGCUCAGGCUCUAUCUGUGCCCGCCUGGAGCAGCCGCAUCCCACGGCAGCACUGAGGCUGGAGACCAGCCGCUGAAGGAUGUGAGGGCAGAGGUCUCCCGGACACCCCUCCAUCCCUGGAGCAGCCACAUUGGAGCCGGGGCCCAGCCCCGUGUCCCUCCACCCUC
Non-coding RNA from Pelodiscus sinensis (Chinese soft-shelled turtle), 2140 nucleotides. The record is from the annotation of a RefSeq genome assembly. NCBI's taxonomy places the organism in Eukaryota, Metazoa, Chordata, Testudines, Trionychidae.